AGUUCGGCUGGAUCGGUGACAGGUGCUGCAUGGCUGUCGUCAGCUCGUGUCGUGAGAUGUGGGUUAAGUCCCGCAACGAGCGCAACCCUUGUCCUUAGUUGCCAGCAUUAAGUUGGGCGCUCUAAGGAGACUGCCGGUGUUAAACCGGAGGAAGGUGGGGAUGACGUCAAGUCCUCAUGGCCCUUAUGUCCAGGGCUACACACGUGCUACAAUGGCCGGUACAAAGGGCUGCAAUACCGCAAGGUGGAGCGAACCCCAAAAAGCCGGUCUCAGUUCGGAUUGGAGUCUGCAACUCGACUCCAUGAAGUUGGAAUCGCUAGUAAUCGCGGAUCAGCAUGCCGCGGUGAAUGCGUUCCCGGGCCUU
RNAcentral lists this ribosomal RNA (364 nucleotides) under uncultured Pelobacter sp. RNAcentral describes it as "bacterial SSU rRNA". It matches the Rfam family "Bacterial small subunit ribosomal RNA", at positions 1017 to 1382 of the family's 1533-position model. The record is from RNAcentral. Lineage: Bacteria; Pseudomonadati; Thermodesulfobacteriota; Desulfuromonadia; Desulfuromonadales; Desulfuromonadaceae.